This 164-nucleotide ribosomal RNA is filed under the name uncultured bacterium. Its description in RNAcentral is "partial 16S rRNA". It matches the Rfam family "Bacterial small subunit ribosomal RNA", at positions 355 to 511 of the family's 1533-position model. The record is from RNAcentral.
UAGGGAAUCUUCCACAAUGGACGCAAGUCUGAUGGAGCAACGCCGCGUGAGUGAAGAAGGUUUUCGGAUCGUAAAGCUCUGUUGUUGGUGAAGAAGGAUGGAGGCAGUAACUGGUCUUUAUUUGACGGUAAUCAACCAGAAAGUCACGGCUAACUACGUGCCAG